Molecule: ribosomal RNA, 460 nt
Filed under: uncultured bacterium
Lineage: Bacteria
Description: partial 16S ribosomal RNA
Rfam family: Bacterial small subunit ribosomal RNA
Source: RNAcentral
CCUACGGGGGACAGCAGUGAGGAAUAUUGGUCAAUGGACGAGAGUCUGAACCAGCCAAGUAGCGUGAAGGAUGACUGCCCCAUGGGUUGUCAACUUCUUUUAUAUGGGAAUAAAACGUUCCACGUGUGGGAUUUUGUAUGUACCAUAUGAAUAAGGCUCGGCUAACUCCGUGCCAGCAGCCGCGGUAAUACGGAGGAUCCGAGCGUUAUCCGGAUUUCUUGGGUUUAAAGGGAGCGUAGGUGGAUUGUUAAGUCAGUUGUGAAAGUUUGCGGCUCAACCGUAAAAUUGCAGUUGAAACUGGCAGUCUUGAGUACAGUAGAGGUGGGCGGAAUGCGUGGUGUAGCGGUGAAAUGCUUAGAUAUCACGAAGAACUCCGAUUGCGAAGGCAGUUCACUGGACUGCAACUGACACUGAGGCUCGAAAGUGUGGGUAUCAAACAGGAUUAGAUACCCGAGUAGUC